GUGUUUUUGUUUCUCCAGAUAUACUUUGAAAUCAACAUGAAGACAUGUGGUGUGACAAGGACAUAUUUAUUAAACAAACCGUAGCCCUUGAAGCUUCACAUGGGUAGCAGUAGAUAACAGACCAAAAAAAAAAAAAUGCACUGCUAGAAAUGGGAAUAACUUUCAGCUUUUCAAAGGGACGACUAAAUGAUAUCGUAUGGACCGUAGCUCCCGGACACACACCGGGUUGAUACUUCUCAGCUUCCAGGAUCAACAUUUUGGUGGUUUCUGAACCAGUUUCGAAUUUCUCAUCUUAAACACGCGCUAGCUUCAAUGCCGCUUAGGGGCGAGGAGAAUUGAGUGCGUGAUCCAGUGCCUAUUAUUUUCUGUUGCUUAGCAAUUCCACUUUUGCGAGAGGUGGAAAUGUCGAUGUCACCUCAGUAGAGGAGAUUAACAAUGCGUCUUCAUAAAGGUAACACGAAACGUGACCUUAAGGAAUCUAAAAUACCUCAGGAAUCACUACACCUUUCACAGGAUGAAGAUCUUCCCUGCAAAGAAAUAGUCUGGAAGAUUUAGCCACUAGAGGGCUGAAAGCAAGCAGGGAGGUAAUGAAAGAGAACAAGGGCCUAAACCAUCAUGGCUUAUUAUCACCAGUCACCUCUUCGGUCUCUAUUAAAACUCUGUCACACUUCGAGUCUAUGGAUUUUUCAUGAAGGACGAGAAUAGUUUCAAGUCCGAUUAGAUCUGUUCUAUGAUGAGACCACACCUUAUGCCCGGAACUAGAAAGGUGGCGAGAAGGGAAAAAUUGUUACACAUGUUAACCGUAACUUCCAUGAGACAGUAAAAGUGAAAAGAGCUUUGACUUGGGAUGGGAAAACGGAGUGGAUUUCUUUAUGUCAUUGUGGAAGACUUUCAUCACUGACAGCAUAUCAGUAUAAAUUUGGGCUGGAUACAGUAACUAUGGGGGCAUCACCUGUUUGCUUCAUUUGCUUAUAUUUUGUCAGAUUCAUUUUUAACAAAUAAAAUGCUAUUAUGCCAG
Long non-coding RNA from Ornithorhynchus anatinus (platypus), 1018 nucleotides. RefSeq lists it as uncharacterized. The record is from RefSeq and is a predicted model, not a curated record. Lineage: Eukaryota; Metazoa; Chordata; Mammalia; Monotremata; Ornithorhynchidae. The transcript is spliced from 3 exons.